AUACGGAGGGUGCAAGCGUUACUCGGAAUCACUGGGCGUAAAGCGCGCGCAGGCGGCCAUUUAAGUUGGAUGUGAAAGCCUACGGCUCAACCGUAGAACUGCAUCCAAAACUAUUUGGCUAGAGUGUGGGAGAGGAAGAUGGAAUUAGUUGUGUAGGGGUAAAAUCCGUAGAGAUAACUAGGAAUACCAAAAGCGAAGGCAAUCUUCUGGAACAUUACUGACGCUGAGGCGCGAAAGCGUGGGAAGCAAACAGGAUUAGAAACCCUAGUAGUCC
RNAcentral lists this ribosomal RNA (274 nucleotides) under uncultured bacterium. RNAcentral describes it as "partial 16S ribosomal RNA". It matches the Rfam family "Bacterial small subunit ribosomal RNA", at positions 523 to 796 of the family's 1533-position model. The record is from RNAcentral.